RNAcentral lists this ribosomal RNA (253 nucleotides) under uncultured bacterium. RNAcentral describes it as "partial 16S ribosomal RNA". It matches the Rfam family "Bacterial small subunit ribosomal RNA", at positions 524 to 776 of the family's 1533-position model. The record is from RNAcentral.
UACAGAGGGUGCAAGCGUUAAUCGGAGUUACUGGGCGUAAAGGGCGCGUAGGCGGUCAUAUGUGUGAGACGUGAAAUCCCCGGGCUUAACCUGGGGCGGUCGUCUUAAACUGUAUGACUGGAGUACUGUAGAGGGUAGUGGAAUUUCCGGUGUAGCGGUGAAAUGCGUAGAGAUCGGAAGGAACACCAGUGGCGAAGGCGGCUACCUGGACAGAUACUGACGCUGAGGCGCGAAAGCGUGGGGAGCAAACAGG